CUUGACAUGGCUAUCACUGUUUCAAUUUUACAGAGAAAACUUUCUUACGUCACAAAGUGUAGAUCCUAAGCAACCAUCACAUUUUCACUUUGUUCCAUCAUUGAAACUUUCCAAGGGAAAGUGCAUGACCUUUCAAGAGAGGUGGAAAAAUUCUCAGGGGAGGUGCAAAACGAUCUCUGGGGAGGUGCGCACCUCUCCACACUUCCCUCAAAAUCCGGCCUUGAUGCAAAUAAAUCACCACAGCUAGAAAGAGCAUAUUAAAAUAAGUAAAUUAUUGCAAAGUUUGGUUGCGAAUUGUUGCAAAAUACGGAAAAUAUAGCCUUGCAAAGUUUGCAAAUUUUGUACACUUUUGUAUUGCAUGCGAAAAUUGCAAUUAUACAAAAGAAUACAAAAUUUGCAAACUUUGGAAGGCUAUAUUUUCUACAUAUUUUAC
This 433-nucleotide long non-coding RNA is filed under the name Paramuricea clavata. The record is from RNAcentral. Lineage: Eukaryota; Metazoa; Cnidaria; Anthozoa; Malacalcyonacea; Plexauridae.